This 444-nucleotide ribosomal RNA is filed under the name Debaryomyces subglobosus. RNAcentral describes it as "partial 28S ribosomal RNA". It matches the Rfam family "Eukaryotic large subunit ribosomal RNA", at positions 187 to 648 of the family's 3401-position model. Lineage: Eukaryota; Fungi; Ascomycota; Pichiomycetes; Serinales; Debaryomycetaceae. The record is from RNAcentral.
UCCUUGGAACAGGACGUCACAGAGGGUGAGAAUCCCGUGCGAUGAGAUGCCCAAUUCUAUGUAAAGUGCUUUCGAAGAGUCGAGUUGUUUGGGAAUGCAGCUCUAAGUGGGUGGUAAAUUCCAUCUAAAGCUAAAUAUUGGCGAGAGACCGAUAGCGAACAAGUACAGUGAUGGAAAGAUGAAAAGAACUUUGAAAAGAGAGUGAAAAAGUACGUGAAAUUGUUGAAAGGGAAGGGCUUGAGAUCAGACUUGGUAUUUUGCGAUCCUUUCCUUCUUGGUUGGGUUCCUCGCAGCUUACUGGGCCAGCAUCGGUUUGGAUGGUAGGAUAAUGACUAAGGAAUGUGGCUCUACUUCGGUGGAGUGUUAUAGCCUUGGUUGAUACUGCCUGUCUAGACCGAGGACUGCGUCUUUGACUAGGAUGUUGGCAUAAUGAUCUUAAGCCAC